This is a long non-coding RNA of Neofelis nebulosa (Clouded leopard), 1457 nucleotides long. RefSeq lists it as uncharacterized. The transcript has 3 exons. The record is from RefSeq and is a predicted model, not a curated record. Lineage: Eukaryota; Metazoa; Chordata; Mammalia; Carnivora; Felidae.
GGAGGUGAGGUAGGCCCCCACCAUACAACUUCUCCCCUUCCAGCCACCUCCCUGCGGCCUUCUACUGGGUUUCCCAUACCCAAUAUCCACCCCAGCUGGGGUCAGCACAUUUCUGACCAACCCGAUUUGCCUGUCUCUACUCUAGGCCUUUUGCCUCUGGCCCCCCAUGACAAAAGCUGAGGCAUUUGGGGUCAACCACAACAUAGGCCCAAGGCCCUGACAUUAUGCUCUGGGGUGACUACUAUUUUGCCUUAAAUCUCCACUUUGUUGUACUCUUGUUCCUCCACGGAGACCUGGUCAGCUUUCCUCAGACCUGACUUUUCCAUCUUCCAGCACCAGCCUUGGCCUGACCUCUGCUCCCCCAGACCCUGCAUGGGAACUGCAACCCAGCAGAGUUGCUUCUGGUCUCUGUCCAACAUUAAAAUGGUCUAGGGAGGUGUGGAAUUGAGGUUAUUUUGUCUAAGAAGCUUCCUGUACCCUGACCAAUCCCGGUUUUGUUCCAAAUGGAUUAUGGGAGUAAAGGUUGGUAGACAUGGUGUUUACUGUCCCCAUUUUAUCAAGGAUGGAAUUGAGUCUGGAAAAACGAAACAAUUUGCCUAGUCUGGACUUUAACCUAAACCUCUGACUCCAGAUCUCAGGACUUUCCACUAGUAAUUGAUGUUCUUACCACAUUCCCUAUCCGUGUCACAUUUUGGGCAUGUAGCACGCAUGGGCUUGAAUGGUCAGCUGCCUUUCCAUGCAUGUAGGUAGGUCUCUGCCUUUCAUAAGCUCCCUGCAGGAAGGGACUGGAUGACAUCUCUCUGUACUGCCAGGGCCUAGCAGGUGUUAAGCACCUAGUUGUAUCCCCUGCAUUCUAGUUAAACGGUUAAGCCUCUCCCCUGGCUGUCCCCUCUCUUGCUCCCACACCUUCCUUCCAGCUACACUUAAAACAGAGUUUAGUUGUCAGAUGCCCAAAGGCGUGAAGGUCAGAGUACCAAGGUAGGCGUCAUCAGAAAACAGGAAUCAGAGAGAGGAAGGAGCUCCUCUUACUUCUUGAACUUCCUCGAGGGCAGGAUGUUGCCCUUGGCGUCGAGGGGAGGUGCCCUUGCUUCACUCCUCAGCUUGAGUUUCUCCAGCUCCCUCAGUUCCUGCACCGUCCUGACGGUCACCUGGUUUUUCCUGUUGUCGUCCGCGAAGAUGGGAGUACAGCAGAUGAAGGAGCAGCCGCAGAGACAACAAGCUGCCGGCCUCCUCGGACCCCGGACUCUCAUCAGGACACGGUGGCCUGGCCGGAACCCUUCUCUCCGCGCCUGCCCUGCCGUCAGAAGUUAUGUCCGCUCUGUAGGAUUCCUCAGCUUUCGCUCUCUCUCCGUCUGUUGGGUUUUGAUUUCCCUUCUCUCCACUCUUUACUCCACAUCCUCCGCGCUCUGGCUCUCCCGCACCCCUGCCUGGAGCUGGUGCUCCUAAGCCUGAGGAUA